RNAcentral lists this microRNA precursor (75 nucleotides) under Choloepus hoffmanni (Hoffmann's two-fingered sloth). Its description in RNAcentral is "miRNA (ENSCHOG00000016073.1)". Lineage: Eukaryota; Metazoa; Chordata; Mammalia; Pilosa; Megalonychidae. The record is from RNAcentral.
GGAUCUUGUUAAAAUGCAGCUUCUGAUCCAGCAGCUCUGGGAUAGCUUCCAAGAUUCUGCAUUUCUAACAAGCUC